GUAACACGUCGAUAAUCUGCCUUACAGUCUGGGAUAACCAUGGGAAACUGUGGCUAAACCCGGAUAGAGGAUUAUAACUGGAAUGUUUUUUCCUUGAAAGGCAACGCUGUAAGAUGAGUUGGCGGCUGAUUAGGUUGAUGGUGAGGUAAAGGCUCACCAUGCCAAAGAUCAGUAAGGGGGAUGAGAGUCCUAGCCCUGAGAAGGACACUGAGAUAAGGGUCCUAGCCCUAAGGGGUGCAGCAGCCACGAAAACUUUACAAUGCACGCAAGUGUGAUAAGGGAAUCCCAAGUGCUUACUUUACGGUAGGCUUUUGCCAAGUGUAAAAAGCUUGGCGAAUAAGUGGUGGGUAAGACCGGUGCCAGCAGCCGCGGUAACCCCGGCGCCACAAGUUGCAAUUACAUUUAUUGGGUCUAAAGGGUCCGUAGCCGGCCUUGUAAAUCUUUUGUGAAAUUGUCUGGCUUAACCAGACAGCGCGCAAGAGAGACUGCAAGGCUUGAGACCGGGAAGAGGCAGAAGUAUUCUAAGGGGAGCGGUAAAAUGUGAUAAUCCUUAGAGGACUACCGAUGGCGAAGGCAUCUGCCUAGAACGGUUCUGACGGUGAGGGUCGAAAGCCAGGGGAGCGAUCGGGAUUAGAUACCCCAGUAGUCCUGGCUGUAAACGCUGUGAACUAAGUGUUGCAUCUCCUUUGAGGAUAUGCAGUGCUGUAGCGAAGGUGUUAAGUUCACCACCUGGGAAGUACGGCCGCAAGAC
This 751-nucleotide ribosomal RNA is filed under the name uncultured archaeon. RNAcentral's name for it is "bacterial SSU rRNA". It matches the Rfam family "Archaeal small subunit ribosomal RNA", at positions 93 to 849 of the family's 1478-position model. The record is from RNAcentral.